UGGGGAAUCUUCCGCAAUGGGCGAAAGCCUGACGGAGCAACGCCGCGUGGGUGAAGAAGGCCUUCGGGUUGUAAAGCCCUGUCUUAUGGGACGAGGAGGAGACGGUACCAUAGGAGGAAGCCACGGCUAACUACGUGCCAGCAGCCGCGGUAAUACGUAGGUGGCGAGCGUUGUCCGGAAUUAUUGGGCGUAAAGGGCGCGUAGGCGGUUAUAUAAGUCAGCUGUGAAAACUCUGGGCUCAACCGAGAGAUUGCAGUUGAAACUGUAUGACUUGAGUGCAGGAGAGGGCAGUGGAAUUCCUAGUGUAGCGGUGAAAUGCGUAGAUAUUAGGAGGAACACCAGUGGCGAAGGCGGCUGUCUGGCCUGUAACUGACGCUGAGGCGCGAAAGCGUGGGGAGCAAACAGG
RNAcentral lists this ribosomal RNA (406 nucleotides) under uncultured bacterium. RNAcentral describes it as "bacterial SSU rRNA". It matches the Rfam family "Bacterial small subunit ribosomal RNA", at positions 355 to 776 of the family's 1533-position model. The record is from RNAcentral.